RNAcentral lists this ribosomal RNA (1126 nucleotides) under Klebsiella pneumoniae. RNAcentral's name for it is "bacterial SSU rRNA". It matches the Rfam family "Bacterial small subunit ribosomal RNA", at positions 8 to 1125 of the family's 1533-position model. Lineage: Bacteria; Pseudomonadati; Pseudomonadota; Gammaproteobacteria; Enterobacterales; Enterobacteriaceae. The record is from RNAcentral.
AGAGUUUGAUCAUGGCUCAGAUUGAACGCUGGCGGCAGGCCUAACACAUGCAAGUCGAGCGGUAGCACAGAGAGCUUGCUCUCGGGUGACGAGCGGCGGACGGGUGAGUAAUGUCUGGGAAACUGCCUGAUGGAGGGGGAUAACUACUGGAAACGGUAGCUAAUACCGCAUAAUGUCGCAAGACCAAAGUGGGGGACCUUCGGGCCUCAUGCCAUCAGAUGUGCCCAGAUGGGAUUAGCUAGUAGGUGGGGUAACGGCUCACCUAGGCGACGAUCCCUAGCUGGUCUGAGAGGAUGACCAGCCACACUGGAACUGAGACACGGUCCAGACUCCUACGGGAGGCAGCAGUGGGGAAUAUUGCACAAUGGGCGCAAGCCUGAUGCAGCCAUGCCGCGUGUGUGAAGAAGGCCUUCGGGUUGUAAAGCACUUUCAGCGGGGAGGAAGGCGGUGAGGUUAAUAACCUCAGCGAUUGACGUUACCCGCAGAAGAAGCACCGGCUAACUCCGUGCCAGCAGCCGCGGUAAUACGGAGGGUGCAAGCGUUAAUCGGAAUUACUGGGCGUAAAGCGCACGCAGGCGGUCUGUCAAGUCGGAUGUGAAAUCCCCGGGCUCAACCUGGGAACUGCAUUCGAAACUGGCAGGCUAGAGUCUUGUAGAGGGGGGUAGAAUUCCAGGUGUAGCGGUGAAAUGCGUAGAGAUCUGGAGGAAUACCGGUGGCGAAGGCGGCCCCCUGGACAAAGACUGACGCUCAGGUGCGAAAGCGUGGGGAGCAAACAGGAUUAGAUACCCUGGUAGUCCACGCCGUAAACGAUGUCGAUUUGGAGGUUGUGCCCUUGAGGCGUGGCUUCCGGAGCUAACGCGUUAAAUCGACCGCCUGGGGAGUACGGCCGCAAGGUUAAAACUCAAAUGAAUUGACGGGGGCCCGCACAAGCGGUGGAGCAUGUGGUUUAAUUCGAUGCAACGCGAAGAACCUUACCUGGUCUUGACAUCCACAGAACUUUCCAGAGAUGGAUUGGUGCCUUCGGGAACUGUGAGACAGGUGCUGCAUGGCUGUCGUCAGCUCGUGUUGUGAAAUGUUGGGUUAAGUCCCGCAACGAGCGCAACCCUUAUCCUUUGUUGCCAGCGGU